This 785-nucleotide long non-coding RNA is filed under the name Fukomys damarensis (Damara mole-rat). RNAcentral describes it as "lncRNA (ENSFDAG00000031403.1)". The record is from RNAcentral. Lineage: Eukaryota; Metazoa; Chordata; Mammalia; Rodentia; Bathyergidae.
GUCCUCAUUUGCAUUUUCAGUUUCUCCCACCGGAGACAAUCCGGUAUUUACACAUGUGUGUCCUAUUUAUUUCACGUAAGAGCAUGGCCUCCUUAUGUAUCCAUUUAGCUAUAAAUGUCUCUAGUUUAUCAUUCUUUAUGGCUGAAUAGUACUUUUUAAACUGCUAGAUAAAAAUAUAGAAAUUAUGCAUGUUAAUGGGAUAAACGACGUUAUCGUCGUGUGUACAUGUACUUGGUGUUUAUUGGUCUUUGUGCCCUCCCCCCAUUGUCAUCCUCGCCCACGCCCUCCUCCCCACUUGUGCUUGUGAGGCGGGUGUGGUACCACUGAGCUAAAUCCCUGGCCCCUAUUGGUCUUGUUUUUUAUGACCUUGACACCUCGAAGAGCACCAGCCAGUUUCUAGCAGUGUCUCUGAAAGACAGCGGACAUGUUCAGCCUGUUCAGUUCCUUGGCUCAGGAGUUGCUGGAACAAAAGAAGUAGAUUUAGGGCCAAGGAUUUAGCUCAGUGGUUCCACCACCUGCCCCACAAGCACAAGGUCCUGAGUUCAAUCCCCGGUACCAAACAAAAAAAGAAGAAGAUUUUCCUUGGACAGCUAAACUGUAAAAGCCAAAGCAGAAAUACAGAACAUUUCCCAAGGAGAGAAGAUUGCUCACAGGCCAAGUUGUAAAGAAAGGUGAGUGAAGGUAAAGCAACAGAACCCUGGAGAGGGUCCUGAUGAAUGUGGGUUUCCAUAUCCCCAACAGGAGACAGCAUAAUGGGCCAAACCCCACCCCAACAGAGGGACAGC